RNAcentral lists this unclassified non-coding RNA (263 nucleotides) under Hevea brasiliensis (rubber tree). The record is from RNAcentral. Lineage: Eukaryota; Viridiplantae; Streptophyta; Magnoliopsida; Malpighiales; Euphorbiaceae.
CAAAAGAAGUUGUGGCUAACAAGCGAAAGUCUCAGAGAUACAGAAUAGGACAACUUAACAGAGUCUCUUCCAUCUCUAUAUUUCCAAAUUCCAAGUGCGCCAACAGAUUAAGAAGGUUGUUUCGAGCAAGUGAUGCAGAAAACAUUUUUCAUGUUGUAGCAUUAAGUGUUCACAUUAAUUUUCCCCCCUUCCAUAUAAUGAUUCAAUUUGAUAGAGAUAAACUAUCAGGAAAAAAAAUGUGAACACUUAAUGCUACAACAUGA